RNAcentral lists this ribosomal RNA (1325 nucleotides) under uncultured marine diplonemid. RNAcentral's name for it is "SSU rRNA". It matches the Rfam family "Eukaryotic small subunit ribosomal RNA", at positions 1 to 1147 of the family's 1831-position model. The record is from RNAcentral. Lineage: Eukaryota; Euglenozoa; Diplonemea.
ACCUGGUUGAUCCUGCCAGUAGUCAUAUGCUUGUUUCAAGGACUAAGCCAUGCAAGUCUCAGAAUAAAUGGAUCACAGUGAGUCUGCAGACAGCUCAUUAAAUCAGCUAUAAUCUACGCCGAGAAACUGCCUCAUGGGAGACUAUUGGAUAACUUUGGUAACCCCAAAGCUAAUACAUGUCAGCAAAACCCGCACAGAUUCAACCUUGGGGCCUCGGUUGAGGGUGUGUCGGGUGGAAUUGACCGAAACAAAAACCAACGUUAGCAAUAGCAGGGUGAUUGGAUGACUCAGGUCAAUCGAGUAGUAGCGCAUACUUCGGUGGCGCUUGUCGGCACGAGUAUCUGCCUUAUCAGCUUUUGACGGUAGUGUAAUGGACUACCGUGGCUGUAACGGGUAACGGGGAAUUAGGGUUUGAUUCCGGAGAGGGAGCCUGAGAAACGGCUACCACAACUAAGGUUGGCAGCAGGCGCGCAAAUUGCCCAAUAGCAACACAUCGCUGAGGCAGCGAAGAGAAAUAGCAACUUCAUGCGGCCCUGCCGUGUGAAGAUUGCCAUGGACGAUAUCUAAACCUGUCGAUGAGUAUCAAUUGGUGGACAAGUCUGGUGCCAGCACCCGCGGUAAUUCCAGCACCAAUAGCGUAUAUUAAUGCUGCUGCUGUUAAAAAGCUCGUAGUUGGAUCAAGAGUCGGACAGUGCACGGUGGCCCUGUUUGCUUGCUUGGCUCCGGUCAGGUGGCGGCAGCGGAACUACCCCGUGCAUCAAACUGUCGCCUCUAACAGGCCGAAGCGGUUCCCUGUGAGUAGACUCCUUCAUUGGGGUUGAAAGCGCCUACGCAUCAACCACAUGCAUACGGGACGUCGGCCCAAGUUACUGUGAACAAACCAGCGUGUCCAAAGCAGGCCUUGCCUGAAUGUUCGAGCAUGAAUAACAAGGAUCGAUUUCUCGGUUCUUUUUGUUGUUUUAACCGAGAAGGAGUAAUCAGCCCACGGUGUUUGAGUGGUUUCCCUAGCUUGGUUUAGCCCCCAUCUAGCCCGUGCCCUUAGGGAUCAAUAGGACUGCGGGGUCGUACCUACUUCGCGUCAGAAGUGAAAUUCUUAGACGCGGGAAGAGGAACUUCUGCGAAACCAUUCGACAAGAAUGUCUUCAUUAAUCAAGAACGAGAGUGUGAGAUCGAAGAUGAUCAGAUCCCGUCGUAGUCCACACUGUAAACAAUCCCGUCUCAGGAUUGAGAAGUGAAAAGAAUGACUUUCCCACCACUAACCCCUGAAAGGAGAAAUCAAAGAUUAUGGGUUCAGGGGGGAGUACAUUCCCAAGGCUGAAACUUAA